GAACGCUAGCGGGAGGCCUAAUACAUGCAAGUCGAACGGGUGAAUUAGCUUCGGUUGGUUCACUAGUGGCGCACGGGUGAGUAACGCGUACGCAAUCUGCCCUAUGCUGGGGAAUAGCCCCUGGGAAACUGGGAGUAAUACGCCAUAGAUCUGUGGAUUCGCAUGGAUUUUACAGAUAAAGCUGCGGCGGCAUAGGAUGAGCGUGCGUCUGAUUAGGUAGUUGGUGAGGUAACGGCUCACCAAGCCGACGAUCAGUAAGGGGCGUGAGAGCGUGGCCCCUCACACGGGUACUGAGACACGGACCCGACUCCUACGGGAGGCAGCAGUAAGGAAUAUUGGACAAUGGGCGCAAGCCUGAUCCAGCCAUCCCGCGUGCUUGAUGAAGGCCCUCUGGGUUGUAAAGAGCUUUAGUCUGGGAAGAAACCGUUUUCUGCGGAAGACGCUGACGGUACCAGAAGAAUAAGCACCGGCUAACUCCGUGCCAGCAGCCGCGGUAAUACGGAGGGUGC
Molecule: ribosomal RNA, 509 nt
Filed under: uncultured bacterium
Lineage: Bacteria
Description: bacterial SSU rRNA
Rfam family: Bacterial small subunit ribosomal RNA
Source: RNAcentral